This 469-nucleotide ribosomal RNA is filed under the name Paenibacillus pabuli. Its description in RNAcentral is "bacterial SSU rRNA". Lineage: Bacteria; Bacillati; Bacillota; Bacilli; Caryophanales; Paenibacillaceae. The record is from RNAcentral.
GKCCUACGGGGGGSWGCAGUAGGGAAUCUUCCGCAAUGGGCGAAAGCCUGACGGAGCAAUGCCGCGUGAGUGAUGAAGGUUUUCGGAUCGUAAAGCUCUGUUGCCAGGGAAGAACGCUUGGGAGAGUAACUGCUCUCAAGGUGACGGUACCUGAGAAGAAAGCCCCGGCUAACUACGUGCCAGCAGCCGCGGUAAUACGUAGGGGGCAAGCGUUGUCCGGAAUUAUUGGGCGUAAAGCGCGCGCAGGCGGUCAUUUAAGUCUGGUGUUUAAUCCCGGGGCUCAACCCCGGAUCGCACUGGAAACUGGGUGACUUGAGUGCAGAAGAGGAGAGUGGAAUUCCACGUGUAGCGGUGAAAUGCGUAGAUAUGUGGAGGAACACCAGUGGCGAAGGCGACUCUCUGGGCUGUAACUGACGCUGAGGCGCGAAAGCGUGGGGAGCAAACAGGAUUAGAUACCCCKRGUAGUCAG